GUUCAUCAAUCAUUGUUGUUUGGUAUCUCGAAUCUCAACAUUAUGUUAGUAUUUUUUUGCUAUUUUAUUUUUUCUUAUAAUGUUCUUGAAUUUAUAUUUUUAUUUGUUCAUAUUAAUAAUUUUAUUUUUUACUCUUUACUUGUUACAAUGAAAUUAUUUAGAACUCAUAAAAUUGAUUACAAUUGUCCGCAAUCCUCUAUUAUUUGAUCCUCAAUUACUAAUCGUGCAAAUUACAUCAUAUCAGUCUAAAUUAGUCUAAAUUUAAUGGAGAGGUCUUAUUUUUUAAAAAUUACAACCGUUCAAAACUAAUUUUAACGACUCAAUCUUCAACUGGCUUGGAAGAAUUAAGCUAAUGAGUCAAAAAA
This 365-nucleotide long non-coding RNA is filed under the name Solanum tuberosum (potato). RNAcentral describes it as "long non-coding RNA (STUB_LNC004523)". The record is from RNAcentral. Lineage: Eukaryota; Viridiplantae; Streptophyta; Magnoliopsida; Solanales; Solanaceae.